GACGAACGCUGGCGGCGUGCCUAAUACAUGCAAGUCGAACGGUCUUUUCUAUGGAAGCUUGCUUCCACUGAGAAGAUAGUGGCGGACGGGUGAGUAACACGUGGGUAACCUGCCCAUAAGAGGGGGAUAGCCUUCCGAAAGGAAGAUUAAUACCGCAUAACAUGGUUUCAGGGCAUCCUGAAAUCAUCAAAGGGCAAUCCGCUAUCAGAUGGGCCCGCGUCCCA
RNAcentral lists this ribosomal RNA (224 nucleotides) under uncultured bacterium. RNAcentral's name for it is "partial 16S ribosomal RNA". It matches the Rfam family "Bacterial small subunit ribosomal RNA", at positions 28 to 240 of the family's 1533-position model. The record is from RNAcentral.